GGGCUCAGCUGUGAAGUGUAAUUGACAGUUGGAGUUAUUCACUUUGCUGAGUCUUUCUCAUGUUCAUUUUAUCGCUCGUCCAUUGAAAUUCAUCUCCAAAUAUAAUCCCCGACCCCCUUAUUUAUAUGAAAUAAGCAAUACCAAAUUUUUCAUUUUCUUUUUUUUUUUUUGUGUACCCAAACAAGUAAAAGCACCUUUUCCUGAUUAAUAGGUAAGAAUCAACUUUUUUUUAUUUUUAACAAAAUAAAAAUAAAGACUUUAUUUCUAUCAGACAAACUUCUCAUCAGCCUAAAUUUUCAAAAGUAAAACCUUUUCAACAGGCUUUGAAAAUAAAUUACUGUAUCUAUUCUGCACCCUUACCCGGAUUCUCAUCAAAAUUCAAAGUGUGUCAUAACAGCGGAAGGGUACAUUUGGCGUCCUCACAUUGCAAUUGAAUUGGAAAAUGUGGAUUCCAAAUCAAUUACUUAUCGGCUGUCCAGCAUAAAUGGACAGAUCGGCUAUACCUCAUCGAUGCAAGCUUGACAUCAUUGACGUCCACUCAUCUGUGACACGCGUCUGCCUAAACAAGACAAACAUUUAUCUUAUACACGUAUGUCCGUGCUGGGGCCAUGUAUUUGGCGCCUUGGCCUUCAAUAGACACAUACACUUGUCACCUCUCAAUGGGCCACCCUGGUGGACGAGAGGGUCACGGCCCUCCAACUUCAGGUGGGAGACGGGUGAAAUUUGAGUCGGUGGAGACAUCAAAUGACUCCAGUGAAAUCAGAACAACUAGUGGUGGACUAAAAUAUUUGGUCCAAAUAAGGAGUCAUUGUGGAGUGGCCACAUGGUUGUUUUUAUACUUUGGUCAGC
This is a long non-coding RNA of Hippocampus comes (tiger tail seahorse), 849 nucleotides long. RefSeq lists it as uncharacterized. The transcript has 3 exons. NCBI's taxonomy places the organism in Eukaryota, Metazoa, Chordata, Actinopteri, Syngnathiformes, Syngnathidae. The record is from RefSeq and is a predicted model, not a curated record.